This 375-nucleotide ribosomal RNA is filed under the name uncultured Alphaproteobacteria bacterium. RNAcentral's name for it is "bacterial SSU rRNA". It matches the Rfam family "Bacterial small subunit ribosomal RNA", at positions 521 to 896 of the family's 1533-position model. Lineage: Bacteria; Pseudomonadati; Pseudomonadota; Alphaproteobacteria. The record is from RNAcentral.
UAAUACGGAGGGGGCUAGCGUUAUUCGGAAUUACUGGGCGUAAAGCGCGCGUAGGCGGUUUGUCAAGUUGGGUGUGAAAGCCCGGGGCUCAACCUCGGAAUUGCACUCAAAACUGGCAGACUAGAGACCGAGAGAGGUGAGUGGAAUUUCCAGUGUAGAGGUGAAAUUCGUAGAUAUUGGAAAGAACACCAGUGGCGAAGGCGGCUCACUGGCUCGGUACUGACGCUGAGGUGCGAAAGCGUGGGUAGCAAACAGGAUUAGAUACCCUGGUAGUCCACGCCGUAAACGAUGAGUGCUAGACGUCGGGAGGCAUGCCUUUCGGUGUCGCAGCUAACGCAUUAAGCACUCCGCCUGGGGAGUACGAUCGCAAGAUUA